CGAAGAUUGAAGAUUAAAAUUCUUCCUAGCGGU
Molecule: transfer RNA, 33 nt
Filed under: Anguilla marmorata (giant mottled eel)
Lineage: Eukaryota; Metazoa; Chordata; Actinopteri; Anguilliformes; Anguillidae
Description: partial tRNA-Thr
Source: RNAcentral